Long non-coding RNA from Coregonus clupeaformis (lake whitefish), 534 nucleotides. RefSeq lists it as uncharacterized. The record is from RefSeq and is a predicted model, not a curated record. Lineage: Eukaryota; Metazoa; Chordata; Actinopteri; Salmoniformes; Salmonidae. The transcript has 5 exons.
AAGACUGUAGGAAAAAUUACCAAAUAAAGGAAGGGAUAAACAACUGGUAUCCACCCAUUAGCAUUUAAUACUGUGUACUGCCUCGUUCAUCUGCAAGUGGCUUGCCAUCCUCUCACAGCUGCUAUUCAUUUCUCAUCAUUGUUUCUCUCAUAGGUGUGAAAAAAAGAAACCAGCAAGAUGGCAGAGAAAAAGAUGACAUCGAGUUGCAGUGGUCAUCUGAAGAGCUUGAUGCUUUCGAUUGCCAACGACCUGCUGGAGAAAGAAGCAAAAAGGAAAAGGCAAGGUAUAUGGAAGAUAGCUGCUCUGCUCCCGGAUAUGUCUGGUGGUCUUCCUGAGCUGCAGAAUCGGUGCAAAAAGCUGAACCCGACCAUUGAGAGACACACUGUGUAAACACUGGUGCCACAUCUGUGACGUAUUCUUGUGCGAAUGGAAAAUGCUUAAAAAGUUGGCCCAGACGAUCAACGAGGUCUUACUCAUAUAAGGAUUUUUCUUAAUUUUUACUAUUUUCUACAUUGUAGAAUAAUUGUGAAGACA